This 2906-nucleotide ribosomal RNA is filed under the name Escherichia coli. RNAcentral describes it as "23S ribosomal RNA". It matches the Rfam family "Bacterial large subunit ribosomal RNA". Lineage: Bacteria; Pseudomonadati; Pseudomonadota; Gammaproteobacteria; Enterobacterales; Enterobacteriaceae. The record is from RNAcentral.
GGUUAAGCGACUAAGCGUACACGGUGGAUGCCCUGGCAGUCAGAGGCGAUGAAGGACGUGCUAAUCUGCGAUAAGCGUCGGUAAGGUGAUAUGAACCGUUAUAACCGGCGAUUUCCGAAUGGGGAAACCCAGUGUGUUUCGACACACUAUCAUUAACUGAAUCCAUAGGUUAAUGAGGCGAACCGGGGGAACUGAAACAUCUAAGUACCCCGAGGAAAAGAAAUCAACCGAGAUUCUCCCAGUAGCGGCGAGCGAACGGGGAGCAGCCCAGAGCCUGAAUCAGUGUGUGUGUUAGUGGAAGCGUCUGGAAAGGCGCGCGAUACAGGGUGACAGCCCCGUACACAAAAAUGCACAUGCUGUGAGCUCGAUGAGUAGGGCGGGACACGUGGUAUCCUGUCUGAAUAUGGGGGGACCAUCCUCCAAGGCUAAAUACUCCUGACUGACCGAUAGUGAACCAGUACCGUGAGGGAAAGGCGAAAAGAACCCCGGCGAGGGGAGUGAAAAAGAACCUGAAACCGUGUACGUACAAGCAGUGGGAGCACGCUUAGGCGUGUGACUGCGUACCUUUUGUAUAAUGGGUCAGCGACUUAUAUUCUGUAGCAAGGUUAACCGAAUAGGGGAGCCGAAGGGAAACCGAGUCUUAACUGGGCGUUAAGUUGCAGGGUAUAGACCCGAAACCCGGUGAUCUAGCCAUGGGCAGGUUGAAGGUUGGGUAACACUAACUGGAGGACCGAACCGACUAAUGUUGAAAAAUUAGCGGAUGACUUGUGGCUGGGGGUGAAAGGCCAAUCAAACCGGGAGAUAGCUGGUUCUCCCCGAAAGCUAUUUAGGUAGCGCCUCGUGAAUUCAUCUCCGGGGGUAGAGCACUGUUUCGGCAAGGGGGUCAUCCCGACUUACCAACCCGAUGCAAACUGCGAAUACCGGAGAAUGUUAUCACGGGAGACACACGGCGGGUGCUAACGUCCGUCGUGAAGAGGGAAACAACCCAGACCGCCAGCUAAGGUCCCAAAGUCAUGGUUAAGUGGGAAACGAUGUGGGAAGGCCCAGACAGCCAGGAUGUUGGCUUAGAAGCAGCCAUCAUUUAAAGAAAGCGUAAUAGCUCACUGGUCGAGUCGGCCUGCGCGGAAGAUGUAACGGGGCUAAACCAUGCACCGAAGCUGCGGCAGCGACACUAUGUGUUGUUGGGUAGGGGAGCGUUCUGUAAGCCUGUGAAGGUGUGCUGUGAGGCAUGCUGGAGGUAUCAGAAGUGCGAAUGCUGACAUAAGUAACGAUAAAGCGGGUGAAAAGCCCGCUCGCCGGAAGACCAAGGGUUCCUGUCCAACGUUAAUCGGGGCAGGGUGAGUCGACCCCUAAGGCGAGGCCGAAAGGCGUAGUCGAUGGGAAACAGGUUAAUAUUCCUGUACUUGGUGUUACUGCGAAGGGGGGACGGAGAAGGCUAUGUUGGCCGGGCGACGGUUGUCCCGGUUUAAGCGUGUAGGCUGGUUUUCCAGGCAAAUCCGGAAAAUCAAGGCUGAGGCGUGAUGACGAGGCACUACGGUGCUGAAGCAACAAAUGCCCUGCUUCCAGGAAAAGCCUCUAAGCAUCAGGUAACAUCAAAUCGUACCCCAAACCGACACAGGUGGUCAGGUAGAGAAUACCAAGGCGCUUGAGAGAACUCGGGUGAAGGAACUAGGCAAAAUGGUGCCGUAACUUCGGGAGAAGGCACGCUGAUAUGUAGGUGAAGUCCCUCGCGGAUGGAGCUGAAAUCAGUCGAAGAUACCAGCUGGCUGCAACUGUUUAUUAAAAACACAGCACUGUGCAAACACGAAAGUGGACGUAUACGGUGUGACGCCUGCCCGGUGCCGGAAGGUUAAUUGAUGGGGUUAGCCGCAAGGCGAAGCUCUUGAUCGAAGCCCCGGUAAACGGCGGCCGUAACUAUAACGGUCCUAAGGUAGCGAAAUUCCUUGUCGGGUAAGUUCCGACCUGCACGAAUGGCGUAAUGAUGGCCAGGCUGUCUCCACCCGAGACUCAGUGAAAUUGAACUCGCUGUGAAGAUGCAGUGUACCCGCGGCAAGACGGAAAGACCCCGUGAACCUUUACUAUAGCUUGACACUGAACAUUGAGCCUUGAUGUGUAGGAUAGGUGGGAGGCUUUGAAGUGUGGACGCCAGUCUGCAUGGAGCCGACCUUGAAAUACCACCCUUUAAUGUUUGAUGUUCUAACGUUGACCCGUAAUCCGGGUUGCGGACAGUGUCUGGUGGGUAGUUUGACUGGGGCGGUCUCCUCCUAAAGAGUAACGGAGGAGCACGAAGGUUGGCUAAUCCUGGUCGGACAUCAGGAGGUUAGUGCAAUGGCAUAAGCCAGCUUGACUGCGAGCGUGACGGCGCGAGCAGGUGCGAAAGCAGGUCAUAGUGAUCCGGUGGUUCUGAAUGGAAGGGCCAUCGCUCAACGGAUAAAAGGUACUCCGGGGAUAACAGGCUGAUACCGCCCAAGAGUUCAUAUCGACGGCGGUGUUUGGCACCUCGAUGUCGGCUCAUCACAUCCUGGGGCUGAAGUAGGUCCCAAGGGUAUGGCUGUUCGCCAUUUAAAGUGGUACGCGAGCUGGGUUUAGAACGUCGUGAGACAGUUCGGUCCCUAUCUGCCGUGGGCGCUGGAGAACUGAGGGGGGGCUGCUCCUAGUACGAGAGGACCGGAGUGGACGCAUCACUGGUGUUCGGGUUGUCAUGCCAAUGGCACUGCCCGGUAGCUAAAUGCGGAAGAGAUAAGUGCUGAAAGCAUCUAAGCACGAAACUUGCCCCGAGAUGAGUUCUCCCUGACUCCUUGAGAGUCCUGAAGGAACGUUGAAGACGACGACGUUGAUAGGCCGGGUGUGUAAGCGCAGCGAUGCGUUGAGCUAACCGGUACUAAUGAACCGUGAGGCUUAACCUU